CAAUAGCGUAUAUUAAAGUUGUUGCAGUUAAAAAGCUCGUAGUUGGAUUUCUGGUGGGAGCGAUCGGUCUGGCGCUUAGCGCGAGUACUUGCAUCGUCUCCGGCCAUCCUUGGGGAGAGUCUGUCUGGCAUUAAGUUGUCGGGCAGAGGAUCCUCAUCGUUUACUGUGAAAAAAUUAGAGUGUUCAAAGCAGGCUUAUGCCGUUGAAUAUAUUAGCAUGGAAUAAUAAGAUAGGACUUUGGUACUAUUUUGUUGGUUUGCGCACCAAAGUAAUGAUUAAUAGGUACAGUUGGGGGUAUUCGUAUUCCGUUGUCAGAGGUGAAAUUCUUGGAUUUACGGAAGACGAACUACUGCGAAAGCAUUUACCAAGGAUGUUUUCAUUAA
This 383-nucleotide ribosomal RNA is filed under the name uncultured eukaryote. RNAcentral describes it as "partial 18S ribosomal RNA". It matches the Rfam family "Eukaryotic small subunit ribosomal RNA", at positions 592 to 976 of the family's 1831-position model. The record is from RNAcentral.